This 804-nucleotide ribosomal RNA is filed under the name uncultured bacterium. RNAcentral's name for it is "bacterial SSU rRNA". It matches the Rfam family "Bacterial small subunit ribosomal RNA", at positions 574 to 1381 of the family's 1533-position model. The record is from RNAcentral.
GGUGGUUCGUCACGUCGGAUGUGAAAAUCUGGGGCUUAACCCCAGACCUGCAUUCGAUACGGGCGAGCUUGAGUAUGGUAGGGGAGUCUGGAAUUCCUGGUGUAGCGGUGGAAUGCGCAGAUAUCAGGAGGAACACCAAUGGCGAAGGCAGGACUCUGGGCCAUUACUGACACUGAGGAGCGAAAGCGUGGGGAGCGAACAGGAUUAGAUACCCUGGUAGUCACGCCGUAAACGGUGGGCACUAGUUGUGGGGACCUUCCACGGUCUCCGCGACGCAGCUAACGCAUUAAGUGCCCCGCCUGGGGAGUACGAUCGCAAGAUUAAAACUCAAAGGAAUUGACGGGGCCCCGCACAAGCAGCGGAGCAUGCGGCUUAAUUCGACGCAACGCGAAGAACCUUACCAAGGCUUGACAUAUACAGGAAUAUGGCAGAGAUGUCAUAGCCGCAAGGUCUGUAUACAGGUGGUGCAUGGUUGUCGUCAGCUCGUGUCGUGAGAUGUUGGGUUAAGUCCCGCAACGAGCGCAACCCUCGUUCUGUGUUGCCAGCAUUUAGUUGGGGACUCACAGGAGACUGCCGGGGUUAACUCGGAGGAAGGUGGGGAUGACGUCAAAUCAUCAUGCCCCUUAUGUCUUGGGCUGCACGCAUGCUACAAUGGCUGGUACAAACGGCUGCAAUACCGCAAGGUGGAGCGAAUCCGAGAAAGCCAGUCUCAGUUCGGAUUGGGGUCUGCAACUCGACCCCAUGAAGUCGGAGUUGCUAGUAAUCGUAGAUCAGCAACGUUACGGUGAAUACGUUCCCGGGGCU